This 252-nucleotide unclassified non-coding RNA is filed under the name uncultured Paenibacillaceae bacterium. RNAcentral's name for it is "contains 16S-23S intergenic spacer region". It matches the Rfam family "Bacterial small subunit ribosomal RNA", at positions 524 to 776 of the family's 1533-position model. The record is from RNAcentral. Lineage: Bacteria; Bacillati; Bacillota; Bacilli; Caryophanales; Paenibacillaceae.
UACGUAGGGGGCAAGCGUUGUCCGGAAUUAUUGGGCGUAAAGCGCGCGCAGGCGGUCCUUUAAGUCUUGUGUUUAAUGUCGGGGCUCAACCUCGAUACGCAUGGGAAACUGGGGGACUGGAGGGCAGGAGAGGAAAGUGGAAUUCCACGUGUAGCGGUGAAAUGCGUAGAGAUGUGGAGGAACACCAGUGGCGAAGGCGACUUUCUGGCCUGUAACUGACGCUGAGGCGCGAAAGCGUGGGGAGCAAACAGG